RNAcentral lists this ribosomal RNA (840 nucleotides) under uncultured bacterium. RNAcentral's name for it is "bacterial SSU rRNA". It matches the Rfam family "Bacterial small subunit ribosomal RNA", at positions 588 to 1425 of the family's 1533-position model. The record is from RNAcentral.
UNUGCUGUGAAAGGUUGGGGCUUAACCCUGGUUUUGCAGUGGGUACGGGCUAACUAGAGUGCAGUAGGGGAGACUGGAAUUCCUGGUGUAGCGGUGGAAUGCGCAGAUAUCAGGAGGANCACCGAUGGCGAAGGCAGGUCUCUGGGCUGUAACUGACGCUGAGAAGCGAAAGCAUGNGGAGCGAACAGGAUUAGAUACCCUGGUAGUCCAUGCCGUAAACGUUGGGCACUAGGUGUGGGGGACAUUCCACGUUUUCCGCGCCGUAGCUAACGCAUUAAGUGCCCCGCCUGGGGAGUACGGCCGCAAGGCUAAAACUCAAAGAAAUUGACGGGGGCCCGCACAAGCGGCGGAGCAUGCGGAUUAAUUCGAUGCAACGCGAAGAACCUUACCAAGGCUUGACAUAUACUGGACUGCGUCAGAGAUGGCGUUUCCCUUCGGGGCUGGUAUACAGGUGGUGCAUGGUUGUCGUCAGCUCGUGUCGUGAGAUGUUGGGUUAAGUCCCGCAACGAGCGCAACCCUCGUUCUAUGUUGCCAGCACGUGAUGGUGGGGACUCAUAGGAGACUGCCGGGGUCAACUCGGAGGAAGGUGGGGAUGACGUCAAAUCAUCAUGCCCCUUAUGUCUUGGGCUUCACGCAUGCUACAAUGGCCGGUACAGAGGGUUGCGAUACUGUGAGGUGGAGCUAAUCCCUAAAAGCCGGUCUCAGUUCGGAUUGGGGUCUGCAACUCGACCCCAUGAAGUCGGAGUCGCUAGUAAUCGCAGAUCAGCAACGCUGCGGUGAAUACGUUCCCGGGCCUUGUACACACCGCCCGUCAAGUCACGAAAGUUGGUAACACCCGAA